UGACUGCUAUCGGAUUGAUACUAAGCCAUGCGAGUCAUUGUAGCAAUACAAGGCAUACGGCUCAGUAACGCGUAGUCAACCUAACCUAUGGACGGGAAUAACCUCGGGAAACUGAGAAUAAUGCCCGAUAGAACAUUAUACCUGGAAUGGUUUAUGUUCCAAAUGAUUUAUCGCCGUAGGAUGGGACUGCGGCCUAUCAGUUUGUUGGUGAGGUAAUGGCCCACCAAGACUAUUACAGGUACGGGCUCUGAGAGGAGUAGCCCGGAGAUGGGUACUGAGACACGGACCCAGGCCCUAUGGGGCGCAGCAGGCGAGAAAACUUUGCAAUGUGCGAAAGCACGACAAGGUUAAUCCGAGUGGUUUCUGCUAAAGAAACCUUUUGUUAGUCCUAGAAACACUAACGAAUAAGGGGUGGGCAAGUUCUGGUGUCAGCCGCCGCGGUAAAACCAGCACCUCAAGUGGUCAGGAUGAUUAUUGGGCCUAAAGCAUCCGUAGCCGGCUCUGUAAAUUUUCGGUUAAAUCUGUACGCUCAACGUACAGGCUGCCGGGAAUACUGCAAAACUAGGGAGUGGGAGAAGUAGACGGUACUCGGUAGGAAGUGGUAAAAUGCUUUGAUCUAUCGAUGACCACCUGUGGCCAAGGCGGUCUACCAGAACACGU
This 660-nucleotide ribosomal RNA is filed under the name uncultured crenarchaeote AT-200_1. Its description in RNAcentral is "bacterial SSU rRNA". It matches the Rfam family "Archaeal small subunit ribosomal RNA", at positions 24 to 690 of the family's 1478-position model. The record is from RNAcentral. Lineage: Archaea; Thermoproteati; Thermoproteota.